This 420-nucleotide ribosomal RNA is filed under the name Acinetobacter baumannii. RNAcentral describes it as "partial 23S ribosomal RNA". It matches the Rfam family "Bacterial large subunit ribosomal RNA", at positions 2203 to 2622 of the family's 2925-position model. Lineage: Bacteria; Pseudomonadati; Pseudomonadota; Gammaproteobacteria; Moraxellales; Moraxellaceae. The record is from RNAcentral.
CCCUGGUAAUGUUGAGGUUCUAACUCUGUCCCGUGAUCCGGGACGAGGACCGUGUCUGGUGGGUAGUUUGACUGGGGCGGUCUCCUCCUAAAGAGUAACGGAGGAGUACGAAGGUGCGCUCAGCGUGGUCGGAAAUCACGCGUAGAGUAUAAAGGCAAAAGCGCGCUUAACUGCGAGACCCACAAGUCGAGCAGGUACGAAAGUAGGUCUUAGUGAUCCGGUGGUUCUGUAUGGAAGGGCCAUCGCUCAACGGAUAAAAGGUACUCUGGGGAUAACAGGCUGAUACCGCCCAAGAGUUCAUAUCGACGGCGGUGUUUGGCACCUCGAUGUCGGCUCAUCUCAUCCUGGGGCUGAAGCAGGUCCCAAGGGGAUGGCUGUUCGCCAUUUAAAGAGGUACGCGAGCUGGGUUUAGAACGUCGU